UGAUGGAUUCCUGUCUCACAUUUAGGUCCUCCAACGAUUUGGAGUCAAUGUUUGUGUAUGGUGUGAGGAAAUGGUCCAGUUUACCUAGCACCAUUAGUCCAACUAAUGCCACUUCUACUUUAGCAAUCCCUGAGUGUAGCUCUGAAGAAACAAAAACAGCUGUGGGACAGGAAUGAAAUUUGGACUUAAACCUGAGCUCAAACCUCAGUUUGUGUGAAUUUGGUUAAGAAGACUCUUCAUGGACCUCUGAAAUUAUCUGUCUCUUCAUUAAUGAACUGCUUAAGAGAGAACAUUUCCCUUAUCUGGACAUUUCAUAUAAAUGGAAUCAUAUAAUUUGUUACUUUUACAUUAAGAAGAUUUUUCUAUGGCCCAAAGUACUUUUUUAUAGGACUCUCAGAAUAAAAUUCACCUAACGUCAACCAAAGAUGAAAAUCUGAGAUGUUUAUCAGAAAUUGUCAUCAUCCAUAGAUUGAAUGAAAAGGAAAAAAUUUGAUUUCUCAGAGAUACUAAAAGAACCUUCAAACUUCACAUUCUUAUUGCCAUUAAAAACACACGCAGAAUUACAGAAUCAUUAAGGUUGCAUAAUAGAGGGCAGUCCAUUAGAUGAAUCAGUUCCAGGAGUUGGCAUUGGCAAACAGGAACAGCUCUCCCUUUCCUCGGGGACUGUGAAGCCCAGCCAGGACUUCCAGUCCAUCUAAGUCUACAAAAUACAUGUUAACAGGUCAUGAGUGGGGUACUACCUCUAUAUACAUUUGAAGAAAUGAAAGGAAAUGAACAAUGAGGUUUUACUACGUACCAGACUCUGCUAAAUACAGAAAUAAUAAACAUGACCUCAUUUGAUAUU
This is a long non-coding RNA of Canis lupus familiaris (dog), 844 nucleotides long. RefSeq lists it as uncharacterized. The record is from RefSeq and is a predicted model, not a curated record. The transcript is spliced from 4 exons. NCBI's taxonomy places the organism in Eukaryota, Metazoa, Chordata, Mammalia, Carnivora, Canidae.